This 490-nucleotide ribosomal RNA is filed under the name uncultured bacterium. RNAcentral's name for it is "bacterial SSU rRNA". It matches the Rfam family "Bacterial small subunit ribosomal RNA", at positions 18 to 507 of the family's 1533-position model. The record is from RNAcentral.
CCUGGCUCAGAUUGAACGCUGGCGGCAUGCCUUACACAUGCAAGUCGAACGGCAGCGGACCUUCGGGUGCCGGCGAGUGGCGAACGGUGAGUAAUAUAUCGGAACGUACCUUUCAGUGGGGAUAACGUAGCGAAAGUUACGCUAAUACCGCAUAUUCUGUGAGCAGGAAAGCAGGGGAUCGCAAGACCUUGCGCUGAUUGAGCGGCCGAUAUCAGAUUAGCUAGUUGGUGAGGUAAAGGCUCACCAAGGCGACGAUCUGUAGCGGGUCUGAGAGGAUGAUCCGCCACACUGUAACUGAGACACGGUCCAGACUCCUACGGGAGGCAGCAGUGGGGAAUUUUGGACAAUGGGCGCAAGCCUGAUCCAGCCAUGCCGCGUGAGUGAAGAAGGCCUUCGGGUUGUAAAGCUCUUUCGGCCGGGAAGAAAUCGCACGGGUUAAUACCUUGUGUGGAUGACGGUACCGGAAUAAGAAGCACCGGCUAACUACGUG